GAUGAACGCUGGCGGCGUGCUUAACACAUGCAAGUCGAACGGAAAGGCCCAAGCUUGCUUGGGUACUCGAGUGGCGAACGAGUGAGUAACACGUGGGUGAUCUGCCCUGCACUUCGGGAUAAGCCUGGGAAACUGGGUCUAAUACCGGAUAGGACCACUUCUUGGAUGUUGUGGUGGAAAGUUUUUUCGGUGUGGGAUGAGCUCGCGGCCUAUCAGCUUGUUGGUGGGGUAAUGGCCUACCAAGGCGUCGACGGGUAGCCGGCCUGAGAGGGUGUACGGCCACAUUGGGACUGAGAUACGGCCCAGACUCCUACGGGAGGCAGCAGUGGGGAAUAUUGCACAAUGGGCGCAAGCCUGAUGCAGCGACGCCGCGUGGGGGAUGACGGCCUUCGGGUUGUAAACUCCUUUCGCUAGGGACGAAGCGUUUUUGUGACGGUACCUGGAGAAGAAGCACCGGCUAACUACGUG
Molecule: ribosomal RNA, 468 nt
Filed under: uncultured bacterium
Lineage: Bacteria
Description: partial 16S ribosomal RNA
Rfam family: Bacterial small subunit ribosomal RNA
Source: RNAcentral